GACGAACGCUGGCGGCGUGCCUAAUACAUGCAAGUGGGACGCAAGGAAACACACUGUGCUUGCACACCGUGUUUUCUUGAGUCGCGAACGGGUGAGUAACGCGUAGGUAACCUGCCUAUUAGCGGGGGAUAACUAUUGGAAACGAUAGCUAAUACCGCAUAAUAUUAAUUAUUGCAUGAUAAUUGAUUGAAAGAUGCAAGCGCAUCACUAGUAGAUGGACCUGCGUUGUAUUAGCUAGUUGGUAAGGUAAGAGCUUACCAAGGCGACGAUACAUAGCCGACCUGAGAGGGUGAUCGGCCACACUGGGACUGAGACACGGCCCAGACUCCUACGGGAGGCAGCAGUAGGGAAUCUUCGGCAAUGGACGAAAGUCUGACCGAGCAACGCCGCGUGAGUGAAGAAGGUUUUCGGAUCGUAAAGCUCUGUUGUAAGUCAAGAACGUGUGUGAG
Molecule: ribosomal RNA, 449 nt
Filed under: Streptococcus mutans
Lineage: Bacteria; Bacillati; Bacillota; Bacilli; Lactobacillales; Streptococcaceae
Description: bacterial SSU rRNA
Rfam family: Bacterial small subunit ribosomal RNA
Source: RNAcentral